GGACCCCACUGCUAUCGAGAUGGGACUAAGGUAUGCUAGUCGAACGACCAGAACUAUGUCUGGAAGUGGCACACUGCUCAGUAACACGUAGCUAACCUACCCUUAGGACGUGGAUACCCCCGAGAAAUUGGGGUUAAUCCGCGAUAGAUGUAAUGUCCUGGAAUGGUAUUACGUCUAAAGGUAUUUCAUACAUGUUUGAAAUAUGCCUAAGGAUGGGGCUGCGGCCGAUCAGGCUGUUGGUGAGGUAAUGGCUCACCAAACCUUUGACCGGUACGGGCCAUGAGAGUGGUAGCCCGGAGAUGGACACUGAGACAAGGGUCCAGGCCCUAAGGGGCGCAGCAACCGCGAAACCUCCACAAUGCACU
This 365-nucleotide ribosomal RNA is filed under the name uncultured archaeon. RNAcentral describes it as "bacterial SSU rRNA". It matches the Rfam family "Archaeal small subunit ribosomal RNA", at positions 19 to 361 of the family's 1478-position model. The record is from RNAcentral.